GGCAUCAUCUUUUACACA
This 18-nucleotide small nuclear RNA is filed under the name Arabidopsis thaliana (thale cress). RNAcentral describes it as "snRNA_09064". Lineage: Eukaryota; Viridiplantae; Streptophyta; Magnoliopsida; Brassicales; Brassicaceae. The record is from RNAcentral.